This 450-nucleotide ribosomal RNA is filed under the name uncultured bacterium. RNAcentral describes it as "partial 16S ribosomal RNA". It matches the Rfam family "Bacterial small subunit ribosomal RNA", at positions 329 to 797 of the family's 1533-position model. The record is from RNAcentral.
GUCCAGACUCCUACGGGAGGCAGCAGUAGGGAAUUUUGCGCAAUGGGCGAAAGCCUGACGCAGCAACGCCGCGUGAUUGAUUAAGCCCUUCGGGGUGUAAAGAUCUGUCAGUGGGGACGAAACUUGACGGUACCCACAGAGGAAGCACCGGCUAACUCCGUGCCAGCAGCCGCGGUAAUACGUAGGGGGCAAGCGUUAUCCGGAUUUACUGGGUGUAAAGGGAGCGUAGACGGCAUAGCAAGUCUGAAGUGAAAGCCCAAGGCUCAACCAUGGGACUGCUUUGGAAACUGUUAAGCUGGAGUACUGGAGAGGCAAGCGGAAUUCCUAGUGUAGCGGUGAAAUGCGUAGAUAUUAGGAGGAACACCAGUGGCGAAGGCGGCUUGCUGGACAGAGACUGACGUUGAGGCUCGAAAGCGUGGGGAGCAAACAGGAUUAGAUACCCCAGUACAA